CCGGACGAAGUUCUCACAACGGCCGUUAGGGUUUAUCAGGUCGGUGGGAUUUUCGUCCGUCU
Molecule: microRNA precursor, 62 nt
Filed under: Limulus polyphemus (Atlantic horseshoe crab)
Lineage: Eukaryota; Metazoa; Arthropoda; Merostomata; Xiphosura; Limulidae
Description: Lpo-Mir-278-P3_pre stem-loop
Source: RNAcentral